This 250-nucleotide ribosomal RNA is filed under the name uncultured bacterium. Its description in RNAcentral is "partial 16S ribosomal RNA". It matches the Rfam family "Bacterial small subunit ribosomal RNA", at positions 358 to 606 of the family's 1533-position model. The record is from RNAcentral.
GGAAUAUUGGGCAAUGGAGGAAACUCUGACCCAGCCAUGCCGCGUGCAGGAUGAAGGCCCUCUGGGUUGUAAACUGCUUUUUACAGGGAACAAAUGCCCCUUGCGAGGGGAGCUGAGGGUACCUGUAGAAUAAGCCACGGCUAACUACGUGCCAGCAGCCGCGGUAAUACGUAGGUGGCAAGCGUUGUCCGGAUUUACUGGGUUUAAAGGGUGCGCAGGUGGCUAGUUAAGUCUGUGUUGAAAGAGCUAG